GACGAACCGUGCGAACGUUGUUCGGAAUCACUGGGCUUAAAGGGCGCGUAGGCGGGCUGCCAAGUCUGGGGUGAAAUCCCACGGCUCAACCGUGGAACUGCCUCGGAUACUGGCGGCCUUGAGGGAGGUAGGGGCAUGCGGAACUAUGGGUGGAGCGGUGAAAUGCGUUGAUAUCCAUAGGAACACCGGUGGCGAAGGCGGCGUCCUGGACCAACACUGACACUGAUGAGCGAAAGCCAGGGGAGCAAACGGG
Molecule: ribosomal RNA, 253 nt
Filed under: uncultured bacterium
Lineage: Bacteria
Description: partial 16S ribosomal RNA
Rfam family: Bacterial small subunit ribosomal RNA
Source: RNAcentral